Molecule: long non-coding RNA, 42670 nt
Filed under: Ananas comosus (pineapple)
Lineage: Eukaryota; Viridiplantae; Streptophyta; Magnoliopsida; Poales; Bromeliaceae
Description: long non-coding RNA (ACOM_LNC020452)
Rfam family: U2 spliceosomal RNA (bases 42060-42258)
Source: RNAcentral
UAAAUUAUAAAAAAAAUCUAAUUACCCUUUAUAUGAAACGCAUAAAUAAUGCAAUAAUUUACUAUAAUCUUAAAUCUAUUAAACUAUAUGAAUCCUCAAUGUUUGUUGCCACGUGGCAAGUUUUUCUUCACCCUCACUAAUGUAACUCUUCUUCUUUCUAUCACUAAAUUUUCAAUAUGCAUUUUAAUGGUCCCAUUAACCAAACUUCCCAUUACCUUCCCUCCACUAUAUUUUUAAUUAAUAUAAAUGGUUCCACUACCAAACUUUUAAUUAGUAUAUUUAAAUGGUCCUACUACUAUUUACGAUCCUAAUCUCUUUAUGUUCAAUUAUUCAUCAUGUUCACUAAAUUUUUAAUAUACAUUUUAACGGUCUCAUUAAUCAAACUUUCAAUUAGUGUAUUUAAAUGGUCCCACUACCUUCCCUCUACUGUACUUUUAAUUAAUGUAAAUGGUUCCACUACCAAACUUUUAAUUAAUAUAUUUAAAUGGUCCUACUACUAUCUACGAUUCUAACCUCUAUCUCUAAUUAUUCAUUAUGGCCCAUUUUCCUCCUUCCACCGAACUUUCAAUUCUUUAUCUUCGAUUUGUUCAUCAAUUCUUUAUUUCUCAUCUUUAGCUAUACACCAUCGUCUCCUUUCCUCACUCCCUCUCUCUCUCACUAAUGUGCACCCAAUUCCUUCUUCCGCCGCGGUCGGAGAGAUCGUCGUCGCCGUCACUAUCACCAUCGCCGGAGAAGGCAUCGUCGGGUUCAUAUCUGCCGCCUGCAGUGAGAUAUUUUCGGUAGAUGUACCAAAUAAGAUACACAAGAGAAUAUUUAAUAUUUUAUUAUUAUUAAUUACUAUUAAGAUUUUUAUCCGCUGCAAAGCGCGGGUCUCUACACUAGUAAGCCUUGAAUUUGAAAAAAUUAUAAAGCUUGGUAUAGGACUUUGAUGAUGUUGUACUAAUUUCAAUAAACCCAUGCAGUGGAGAGAAGAUGAUAAUUUACCUAAUUUGAACUUAGUUAUUUUGGGAAAAAAGAGUGUUUAACUAGAUACAGAACUCCUCAAAUGUGUCAUUUCUACAUUUUUUUUAUUUAAUUAACAAAUAUUUUAUUUUAUUUUUUAAUUAUAUUUAGGAGUAUUUAUUUUAUUUUUAACUAUUAAAUAUCUAAAUGGACGAGUGAUAUAAUUAAUUAACUACUUAAUUAUUUUAAAUUGAAAUAUAUAAAAUGUUUAAUGUCAUCUAUUUAGCAUUUGAUUGGUCUUAAAUUAAUAAUUUUUAAUAGUUAGUAAUAACUAUUUGAUGAUUUUGAAAAUGGGAAGCUGCGGUGCAUGGAUGACGUGGUGAACUACGUGCAGGAAAUAAUUUGAUGGUGAUUUGUGUUUAAGCUGAAAAAAGCGAAAAAAAUCGUAAGACCCCCUCCCUUUCUCUUUCUCUCUCUUCGAACACCUCAACGGCCGACCCCACGGCCUUAGAGAGAGAGAGAGAGAGAGAGAGAGAGAGAGGAGAGAGAGAGAGAGAAAGAGAAAGAGAGAGAGCCUCUUCUCCCUCCUCCCCCCUCCGCGAUCCAUCGCACUAGAUCCGCCUCUCCGCGUCGAUCUCACCAAAAUCCGGUAUCGAUUUCGCCCUCUCCAUGUUUCGAUCCCCAUUUCUCCUCUCGAUCUCUCGCUUAAUCGCUCGUUUUUUAUCUCUAUUUUAUGGUCCGAGAUUAGGGAUUUGGGAUCGACGAUUUGGUUCUGUCGUUGUUGUUGUUGUGGUGGUUGUUGAUCGGACGCUUUUGCUAUGGCUGCUCCACCUGCUAGGGCUCGGGCGGAUUAUGAUUACCUCAUAAAGCUCCUCCUGAUCGGCGACAGCGGUGAGGGUUUCGAUCCGUUUCUCUCUUCAAGUUGUGGAUUUGAUCUGUUUUUUUUGAUGAUUUGGGAUUGAAACGUGUGUCGAUUUGCUCCUACUUUUUAUGUUUGAUGUAUUUGGGUGUUAAGCCUUUUGGCUGAGUAGGAUCUGAUUGAGCUCCCUUUAUUAUCUCGGGAUCAAAAAGGGUUCACUUUUAGAUCUUGUGAAAUGUGAACGAUGGCCCUAAUAGUAAUUACUCUGUAGAACAAAUGACAAUCUUCUCUGAUCGUUUUGUUCUUAUGUAAAAAGGGCCAACUUUGACUAUUAUGUUACUGUCGGUGUCCUGUGUGUUGGGAAAAAGGAGUGGUGUGGUUUUGGAUUUGAUUGCUCGUCACAUCUCUCAUCGAGGGCAAUUUUAGUGUUUAAUUGUGUCGAUUUUAUUCAGGUUUCCUAUCCCUCAUGCUUGGAUAUUAGUACACUUUCCUGUUGACCUGUUAGUGUUCAGAUAUUAGUACGCUUCCUGUUAACAUGCUGGUGCCCUUAAAUUUCAUGAAAAUGGCAAGCAAUAUAGUGCAUUUGGAGUCUCAGAGGAGUGUUAAGUCAGGGUAUAUAGAAUCGCAUGAUACUUGCUUCCCUCUCUUUCGGAUCUAGCUUUUCAAGGUGCCCCUCUCACUUUUGUUUCAUCCAUUUCUCUGUUCAUUUUUGUUCUUUUUGAGUGCUCUUUGCAUUGCGAGUUCUAGACAUCUUUUUUUUUUUUUUUAUAGUCAAUUUCUUCCACUGGCCCUCUUGCUUAUUCCUUUUGUUAGCUUAAAUGUCCAUUAUUGACAUCGUGUUAUUGCUUGUAAUAAUUAUACCUUUCAAUGUAGAAGCAAGAAGAAAUGAAUUACAUGAAAAGCGGAAUAUGAGUGACAAUUUUGGUAAUGCUUUCUAUGGUGACUGUGUUAAUGUAGCAAAGGAAGUAACUUGUUAUCCUCCGCAAUGACUAGAAAUUGGAAGACACAGAUUUUUUGGGUGCACCCAGGAAUUGGAGUCAUAUCUCUGAUUAAUUCUUUGAAACCUAUGAGAUAGUGUUUGACAUUUGGUUGCUCAAUCAUGAUUGUUUUUGUGUGAUGCUGGGCUACUUGCGAAGUCAUCUGACAAUUAGUUUAGUUCCUGGUUUAUGAAGUAGAUAGAUUGGAUCGUGUUUCAAAAUUCAGGCUUGACCUGCUACAUACAUGUCUUCUUGAACUUUUCAAAUUUCAACAUCUAAUCUCGUAGAACAAUUUGAUCAUUUCCUGCUGGUUGAACUCCUAUGAGUCAAUUUUUUGUUUUGCUUGAGAGUUGAGACAUGAUUGCUAGUGUGUGUUUGUGUUUAUGACGCAUCUCUGUAGCCCUUGCCUAUUAAUUCAACUCCCUAAUCAGGAAUUCCAUUUGCCUAAGAAACAAUCAGGAAUCUCACUCCUUUUUUUUGUUGUCGGAUCAGUGUUCAUUUACUUGUUGGUAAGAUGAGCAUCGACUGGUACCCUGGCUGUUUGGCCGGUGUUCAUUUAUUGAUAUUCUUUUCCCUUUUUGGAUUAUUAACUUUUUUACUUCUAGAUAUAUGAAAUAGGAAGCACAUGUAACCUUGAUCAUGUGCUUCUCACUGAAGAUUCCACUGACUGAUUCCUAAAUAUGUGGGCCUACUAUCUCAUCUGUUGCCAAUAUUUAAUUUCUCACCUAUAAAUUAUACAUUCUGGAUCGACGUCAAAGUACCAAAGUAAUAUAAAUAAGUCAAGUUUCUUUAUGUACUAGCAUUUGGCCUUCAUUGUCACAUCUGUCAUUGGGAUGAUCUCUCAGAUUUGUUGUUAUAUCAUUGUUAAAUUUUCAGUUAAUCAAGUUAUAAAGGCUUCAACAAACCAUGAAUUACUUCACCAAGUUGCCUGAGCCCUCAACUGAAGCCCCACCCCAAGUUCGAGUCAUGUUGAUAGGUCUAGAUACAAGCCUACAAGGUUUUGGGCCAUGCCAAAUCCUGUGAACUUUGUGUUGGGCUCAACCUAUGAAAGUGCAUGCCUAUCGCUAGCAUUAUAUCAAAAGGAAGCAUCCAGCCUCUUACAUCCAGUUGCGGAUAAGAGCUAUGUUGAUUCUGUUUGUAAUGGCAGAACUUCAUACUUAGUGAACUUAUAAAUGUUUUUUUCUUGAUUUUGUUGAUUAUACCUAAAUUAUAUCUUUCUUGAUUGUGAUGACUAAAUUUUUUAUGUAGUGGCUGUGAAUUAAGAGACAGUGUCUAAUCUGUUCAGAAUCUUCAGAUAGUUUCUUGAGGGAAUUUGAUGAUUGAUGUGCCACAUAUAAGUUUUAACAUAGUAAAUUUGCCACACUUCAAGCGACUUAACAUGAAUAUCUGCUUUCAUAGGUGUUGGGAAGAGUUGUCUCCUCCUGAGGUUCUCUGAUGGCUCCUUUACUACUAGUUUCAUUACCACAAUUGGGUAAGUAAUGUUUUGCACGUCAGUUUUAUUCCUAAGUUUUAUUUUUCCCCAAUUUUAGACAUCCUAUUGCUGUUUUUCUCAAUUUGGUUUUUUUUUCCAUAGUAUUGACUUCAAGAUCAGAACGAUUGAGCUGGAUGGUAAGCGGAUCAAAUUGCAAAUUUGGGACACAGCUGGUCAGGAACGCUUUCGAACUAUUACAACUGGUAGGGUUGGUUCUUCGUUAGGUGUUUUAACCAAUGGGCUGUUUUCUUUAUUUAUUUAUUUUUGGUAUUAUAAUUUGCUGAAAUGGAUUUCCAACUCUCUCACUGCAGCAUACUAUCGAGGAGCCAUGGGCAUUUUGCUUGUUUAUGAUGUCACCGAUGAGUCGUCCUUCAAUAGUAUCUGCUUCUUGCUGUUCUUUCCCUCCUUAAUAUAACUUUAUGUCUAUUUUCCUAUUUAAUUAUUGUUUCUCUUGGUUCCUGCAACCUGUAGACAUAAGGAACUGGAUUAGGAAUAUCGAACAACAUGCUUCCGAUAAUGUGAACAAGAUUUUGGUGGGCAACAAAGCUGACAUGGAUGAGAGCAAAAGGGUAUAUAUAUAUUGCUCUUACUAAUGUAAAAUUUCUUGGCUUUAUUUACUUCUGCCUCUUUGCAAAUCCUUCUCCAUUUUUUUUUUCCUGUUUAAAUUGCAUUCAUCCAGGCUGUGCCUACGGCAAAGGGGCAAGCACUUGCUGAUGAAUAUGGCAUCAAGUUUUUCGAAACUGUGAGUAUGAAUUCCCUGUUUUUUGCCCCCCUUUUUUUUGAGGAUUUAUACGAAAGGCUUUUUUUUUUCCCUUUUUUUCCUCUAUUUUUUAACCAAAUAUCAACUACCCAGAGUGCAAAGACGAACCUAAAUGUUGAACAAGUGUUCUUCUCAAUAGCUCGAGAUAUCAAGCAAAGGCUUGCUGAAACUGAUUCCAAACCGGAGGUAGAAUUAGUCAUUUUGCAGAUAAACUACCUGUUUUCUUUGCGAAUGAAGCUUAACAGUUUGUUUUUGCUUUAGGACCGUACGAUUAAGAUCAACAAGCCGGACCAGGCGGCUUCUGUGAGUGCAGAAGCACCAAGAUCAGCCUGCUGCGGUACCUCCUGAGUAAAUAAAUGGCUUUCUGGUGGUGGCGGUAGCGAUCCCAUGGAUGUUGACUGUUGCGGGAACUAAUUCUCUUUUUAUAGAUGAAUGCUUUCAUGAAGAUGAUGAUGAUGAUGAUAUGGUGAUGCAUGUAUUAUUACCUUUCCAUUCUUUUGCAAACCUUCUUUUUAGUGCACAAUAUAGUUAUCAGAAUUGUCGGAACUUUUUGUUCGUGUGCUUGGUUGGAAUCAGUGGCACAGUUCACAUGCUACAUGCGUAGCUACAUUGGUAAUGAUUGUUUUGGAUCUUUCUCGCAGCUCGUAAUUCUCUUAUAAAAUGUGCAUAGAUGUCGAACUAAUGAAUUGCUUGAUUUUUACUCUUUUCUCAUGUUGGACCUUGUUUAAUUUCCUAUGGAGCACAGCUUUUAAAGUUUGGUAUACAAGAUCUAUGUAUGAUAUAUGUAUAUAUUUUUUUCCCGCUGAUUAUAUCGAGCUCUGUUUCUGAACAAAACCGUUUUCUUUUAUAGUUUUCGCCUUCUUCUAUGGCAUGUUGCUUGGGUUUUUCUUCUGAAGGUUGUUUUAAGUACUCCCAAAAUGCACUUGUCCUUCCCAGACACACGUAACAGCUUUUAGAAAAUUAUUGGUGGUUUUUUUAUUUUUUCUCUAAUCCAAUAUAAGAUGCUUGUAGGGUGUGACACACCCAUCCAUUCAAUGUAUGAGGCGAGAUUCCAAGUCAACUGCUUUAAUUACAUAAAUUACAUAGCAGUGGUUGUUAGUUAACAUUGUUACAUGAACUCUCUUAUGUAGUAAAAGAUAUUAUAUAUUAACAUCAAUAUUAACUGCCACUCAUAUAAAAAUAAUUAUUUUAGAAACUGGGCCAAACAUGCGCUAACCGAGUUAUAUGGAACAGUAAUGUUUGAUGCAGUGUUUUUUUUUCUCUUUAAAGUAGUGUUAUUAAGAGAAACGCCACGAGAUUCGAGCAAAGGCUAGCCGAGAAACUGGGCCGGACCCAAAUUUAUCGGGCCUUUAUCCGUAAGGCCCAUAUCGGCAUAGUCAUACAAAGUCAAACUUUAUCCGUAAGGCCCAUAUCGGCCUAGUCAUACAAAGUCAAACUUUAUCCGUAAGGCCCAUAUCGGCCUAGUCAUACCAAGUAGAAAAUCACCACUGUAAACAUAGAAUUUAAUAGCUAGGGAGCACAUUCGCUACAACCUAUGCGCAUGGGGCGAUUUCGCCGUUCGUUCGAUUGAUGGAGUACUAUAUCCUACUAUCGAUCUGAUGUGAUCUAACGAAUGAGUUACAUCUUGCCAUUGGAUUAAUGAUGAGUUACUUUAAAUUAGAUCUACGUGAAAAAAAAACUUAACGGAAAUGAAUUAGUAGAUGAUAUAUAUCUUAAUUUAUACUGAAAAAGAAUCAUAUGCAGUGAAUCAAUUAAUUAUCCAACUAAUGAUAAAUUUUGAAGCAGUUUAAUUAAAAUAUAGAGCAGUAAUUUUAGAAAUUAAGAACAGAAAGUAUAUAUAGGGUUAGUUUUGUAAUACAUGACCCAAAAAGGUCGUGGCUGAGAAAGUACGACUUCUACAGUUUUUUUUUUUAUUUUUUUUUUAUUCUUCAAGCAAAUUUAUAACCAAAAUUUAAUUUCCGCCCAGGAGAACUGCAUGUAUUGUAAAAUAAUCUCUUCUUUUUGCAUGGAACUAAUAGUAAUGAUAUACAACACUCUUGAAAAGGAGAAAUAAUCUUUUAUUAUAUUAUGUACACCAAAAGCAAGCCAAAAAGAGAGUGAAUUAUUACCAGGAGAUAUAAUCUCCAUAUUCCACCCAAUAUCACAUAUUGGUUCGUAAUAAUUAGUGCCAGAGAAAUGGUCUCCUAUGGUGAUUAUUUGGCCCCAAAACAUCAUUAGCCACUCCCACAAAAAAGAGUAGGCCAAAGCAAUAAAAAAGGUAAAAGAGAAUCAUCAAUUAGAAGAUAUAAUUAGCAUAUAUAAAUAUAUAUAAACCCCCUCCUCCUUCUCCCUAACUAUAUGGUUUUUUUUUUAAAAAAAAAUUAAUAGAAAAAAAAACCCUUAAUGCAAACAACCCACCAUAGGAAUGUUAUCUACAAUCUUAAGCCCCAAAUUAAUUUUCCUACACUCCAUAUCAUUCUCCAGGGGAGUAAGGUUUAAGUCAACCCACAGCAUCCUCCUCCUCUCCUCCGGCUUCUUCUCCGCCUCCGCCUCCGCCUCUGCCGCCCCCACCGCGCGGUGCCGCCGCAUGUGGCCGCCGAGGGCCUGCCCGAUGGCGAACUCGAGCCCGCAGAUCGAGCACUCAUGCACCCGCGCCUUUGCGGGCGCGUUAGGCCCGUUGGCGGGUCCAAUAGCGUCGGUCGCGGGCCGCGGCUUUUUGUGGCUGGCCCGGUGCCCGCCGAGGGCCUGGAAGGACGGAAAUUUGCGGCUACACGUCUUGCACUCAAACACCCGCGACGCCUGCGCAGCCGCAGCCGCCACCGCCGCCGCCGCCGCUGGCGAAAAAGCGUCAGUUUCUUCGCCGCCGCCCCGCGAAAGGAGCAUCAGCACGUUGGCCGUGGUGAUGCUAUCCACGGCCUCCACUCGCUCUUCGUCUCCGAACCUAAUCCUCUUCAUGUUCUCAACACAAAUUCGCUAUUUGUAUAUAUAUGUAUAUGUAUAUUUUUGUUCCUAAAUAGAAUGAAUAUAUAUAUUCACACAUAUAAUGAAGAGUAAAAGAAACGCGUGGGGGGUGUAAUAUAUAUAGUCGCGCGUGAGGUGUUAAUUUGUAUGUGUGGCAGCAGGCCGAACCACACGCGCGACUCGGCUAGACCGUUGGACGUACGUCAGCAUGAGGGUACGAUGACGUCAGCACUAUGGAUAGCCAUAGAGAGGAAACUACACUGUUAUUGGCUGCACCCGGUGUACCCAAACGUAUCACGCACCACACGCUAAAUUAGUGUUCAAAAUUUUUAUCUUUUAAAAAAUGUCGCACGCAAUUAAUAUUUAUUCAUAGAGAUGCGGUGUAUGAGAUGUGCUUAGACGCAGAGUGCACGCAAUAAUUUCUCCACAGAGGGAGUAGUGGGUUUCUAGAAUUGGAAAUUUUUGUUUAUUUAGUCUAAGGAGUUGAAGAGAGAGAGAGAGAGAGAGAGAGAGAGAGAGAGGGAGAGUCAAAAUAAGGGUGUUGUGGUAGUUAUUGAUAGUGAGAGAUAAGUAGUAGUAGUAGUAGUAGUAGUAGUUAAUAAAUGGUAGGAGAGGACGUAGUGCAAGGGAAACGUGUAAGCGGUGGUGUCCAAGUUUUACUAGUAAAGUAGCAAGUACUAUUCUUAUUUUGUUGCCUCUCUAACUCUCUCAACUUAUUUAUUUGUUCACACUUAAAAAAGGAGGAGAUAUUAUUGCUUGCACCCUGUCUAUUUGUACAUCUGUGCACCGCCAUUCUCUAAUUUCUUUUUUUUUUUUGAGAGAGAGAGAGAAAUAGAUAGCAUGCUAUCUACUUCGUUUAUUUCAUUUAGAAAUAAACUUAGCUAGAAAUGUGAAUCAUUUAGGAUUCAAACUUGAGAUCUCGGGUACCAACCACUAACCCUUUUGUCACUUGCGCCAUUCUCUAAUUUCAAUCUGUGUGGGAUGGUAUAGUAAGUAGUUGCCAUCUCUAUCUCUCUCACUCUGGCUUGUCUCUCUCUUGUGGUUGGCUUUGUACUGCUCUUUGCUAGCAUAGUUGAUAAAUUAAUUAUCCUCUUGUGUGAGGUCGCAAUUUUGAAUUUUGCUCUCCACAAUUAUAGUGUUGUGCUUGCCCUUUUUCAUAUAUAGAUCUCUAAAGUGCAUUAUGUCCUUGCAAAAUGUAAUAGAAUAGGUGGAUAGUAUAUUUUACCAUGAUGUUGAUAAAAUUUUAAAUGAUCGAUCCACCACUAGUUAUAAUAAUGCUUUAAAUAUUUUGGUUGAUAUUAGGGAUAUUCUAACUCAAAGUGUGCAUGAUUUUUUAACAUAUGUUUGUGAGCCAAACGUAUGUGUUCAAGUUUGGCUCGAUUAAUCGUGAAUUAAUCUGAGAUAGAUUGUGUUUAACUCGAGUGUGAGCUCGACUUGACUCGUUAUGAGAAUCGUGUAAUGACAAUUUCUUUUUCUUUUCUUUUUGUGCAUUAAUUCCAAUCAAUUAAUGUAACUACAAUGAGUUAGCUACACUAAACGUUCUUGAUUGAUCGAUCAAUUGGUGAAUUUUCUAGCUUUAACUACCUAAUCAAGGACAAAUUGAUCAUUUGGGAGGGACAAUUAAUCGAUCGAUGAAAAACAACGUUUGGCUAGUGUUGAUCCACGACUAGCUUUCUAUUUGAUUCAUCGUGUUAGGUGUGGAAAAUGUGCAUCAAUCUCAUGCUCUAAUAAAUCUUAACCUGUUAAAUAUGUCUCGAAUUCUAGUACCGCAAGGUUUUCUAACCCUAUUCUGUUUUAAUUAUCCCAUUAAGUUAAGUUUAGAUUAUGCCUAAUUUAUUGAGAUAUUCCUAAUCUUAGUGGAUUUGUAUUCCUAGUUGUAUUAGGAUUUAACCAUUAUUAUAAAUAUACCCUUUAUUCCUUUAGUUUAGUGCGGAAGAUGAGAGAGGGAAUAUGGGUGUAUUUUUGGGAUUAGGGUUUUAUGAGAGAGGCAUAUUUUGUACACCACUUUGAUUAUAAUGAAGAUCUCCGCUCCGUCUUCGCCCGUGGACGUAGGCCGUUGGCCGAACCACGUAAAUAUUGUGUGCUUUAUGUUUCUUCUCUCUUUCUCGGAUCUCUUUUGGUAUUUUCGCAUCCGACGAACUAGAUCUUCUCGGUUUUAGUUCUAACAAACUGGUAUCAGAGCCGGAGUGUUUGUUUGGGUGUUUAAGACGUCGACGAAUUUGAGAUCGAGAAGUUUGAUCGCUCCAGCAGUUUCGCUCUACGACAAGUUGUCGUUCUGAUGCAACAGAGGUUGCAAAAGGCGUAGUUGGAGAUGAGAAGAUUGGCACUUCAGAGAAUCCCGCGGAUUUGCUCAUUAAGUUUUUAGGCGAUCAAGGUCAAGUAUUCCGUAAACUUGUUCGCAUGUGCAGUAGCACUUCAGGAGCUCUUGGGAUUUUGGUGGAGAAGACAUAGAAUUCAAGCCAAGGUGGAGAUUGUUAAAUAUGUCUCGAAUUCUAGUACCGCAAGGUUUUCUAACCCUAUUCUGUUUUAAUUAUCCCAUUAAGUUAAGUUUAGAUUAUGCCUAAUUUAUUGAGAUAUUCCUAAUCUUAGUGGAUUUGUAUUCCUAGUUGUAUUAGGAUUUAACCACUAUUAUAAAUAUACCCUUUAUUCCUUUAGUUUAGUGCGGAAGAUGAGAGAGGGAAUAUGGGUGUAUUUUUUGGGAUUAGGGUUUUGUGAGAGAGGCAUAUUUUGUACACCACUUUGAUUAUAAUGAAGAUCUCCGCUCCGUCUUCGCCCGUGGACGUAGGCCGUUGGCCGAACCACGUAAAUAUUGUGUGCUUUAUGUUUCUUCUCUCUUUCUCGGAUCUCUUUUGGUAUUUUCGCAUCCGACGAACUAGAUCUUCUCGGUUUUAGUUCUAACAUAACCUAGCUUAAAUUAACCACUCAUGAAAGUAUAUUGUGGCAUUGGCAUAUAUUGCACUCUAUUUAGCUUUUAGUGAGGUUUUCACCUUCAAGUUUCGUACUUUGAAGUCCAAAAGAUCGUUUUGAGAGAAAACAUAGCUGAUCAGCAAUAUACUUAAUUAACACUUUGAAGAUGUCAUCAUUAUUUCUUUAUUAUUAUUAUUAUUAUUAUUAUUAUUAUUAUUAUUAUUAUUACUACUACUUUUUUGGUAUUUUAUAGUAGAGAUGACGCCAUAUAUGAAUACCCGGCCCUAAUAUUAGUGAGUGCAAUCCAAUGUGCAUAUAUAAGUCACAUAUAUAUCACAGUAGAUAAAACUUUUGGUUUGAUGAAGAAGCUAAAAUAGGUUUUCACAUGGAUAAAAGGAGUUCUAAUUUGUUAAGAUAUUACAUACAUAAGCACAUAGCUUUUAUAGAUAGUUAGCGACUCAUUUUUUGUAAUUGUGAUAAAAUUUUGAAUGAAUAGUCCCUGCAAUCUGGAUAUUGCAACUUGAUUUCUCUGCCUAUUGUUCUUAGUUCUUACUAUUAAAAAAAAAAAGUUGACUUUACUGCACUUAAUUAAUUUCCAUGAAAAUAAACUGAGAAAUGACUCAUUUGAGAUAGAAUAUGUUUGUUGGCUAGGGACUAGAGUAAAUAUAUGCAAAAAUUUAGAGACUUAAAGUAUUUGAGUGAAGUGCAUGAAUCAAGCUACAGCAGCUGGAUUGUAUAACGAAUGUUACUCAUUCAUAUAUUUUACCUCUUUUCUAAAAAAAAAUCUCUAACCAUGUGAAACAUGGAUGAAGAUGUUACUAUUCUUUGAUAGCUCAAGCUUUUAGAGACAAUAAUUUUUCUUAUUCUUUAAUAUGGUAUCAUACUAGAAGGCCCUGAAUACGAGUCAUGCUAAGUCCAUACUGGGAUAUAUUGAAUUUAAUUUCUCUCAGUAUCUCCAUAUAUACACGUUAUCAACGAUUGUUUCAUAGUACUUCAAAAUUAAGCCGCCACGUGUCUUCUAAAUUAUUUGAUGGCCACCAAAACUUGCUUGUGGAAUCUAAAUAAUUGCAUGGCCAUUCAUCUGGUGGCAAAUCUCUGUGACUCACCAGUGUGAUUAAUAUAAUGAAAGAGGUGCUAUUCAUAAUGAGAACGUAGGUUUUGUAUUUUUAUUAUUUUUUCCCUCUUGAUAUACUGUACCAUAUACCAAUCCUUUUAUAUGUCUAUCCUAUUGGGUAGUUAGUGAAGAAUUUUUUUUCACAUACUUUGACUUUUAAUAAGCUAAAAUUACGCAAAAUUAUUAGGUUGGUGGCAAGUAUUAGCCCUUCACAAAACCCAUUCAAAGUUUACUACUAGCGUUUAGAAUAUCCGCGUGAUAUAUAUUUAUUCAUGCAUUAUUUAUAUAUUUUGACUAGAAUUACUAGGGGAAAUUUCAUAAAAUAUUGACAAGUCCAAAUAAUGCAACAGUUAUUUAUGCUAUAUAAUUGAAGAUCACACUAAUACAUGGUCACUCCUCAAAUAUGUCUAUUCGGUCCCCAUCAUUGGUGGCGCUCACACAGGGCACCCUGGGAUAUAUAUAUUUAUAUAUGUGUGUGUGUGUGUAUACAACACGUUGCCACGUUUUAGGUUAAGUAGAUAGGUUGGUGGAAUAGCUUAGCUCUAUCUCUAUCCCCUCUCUCUCUCUCUCUCUCUCUCUCUCUCUCUCUCUCUCUCUCUCUCUCUCUCUAUGCAUCUCUUUGUUUACACAUAUGUAAUUAAGUUUGAGACUAGUUUUAGUCUAAAGUGGAGAUGUCAACCCAUUAUUCUAAGUUAGUUUCGUGUGGAGUUGUGGUUCAGUUGUUCUGGAAACAGAAAGACCAAUAUUGUUUUCUGACUCGUGCAUGCUUCUCUAAUAUUUACUCUUUAGGAGAAAUUAUUGUUUAGACCUGGUCUAUAGACCAGGCAACAUAAAUGGGCUUCGACGUUAUGAAGUAUAUAGCUAUUAAUAACUUGUAUUCAAGCUAUAUAUACGACCCCACAAGCCGCAGGAUGUUCCCACACCAUAUGAAAUGAUUCAACCCGCACUCUCAUAUUAGCAAUCUGCUAGGCCGGGUCUAAAGCAGCGACUCAAAAUAUUUAACUCCAAGUUAAUUACUUGUACUAUCAGGCAGUGUUUGGUUAGGAGAUUGUGAUAGGGAUAGGCCCAUAUUCUCUCCUUUAUAUCUAAACGCUAAUUUUUUAUUCGAGAAUAGUAGUUCUCGGUUAUUCCCACCAACACCUUCAUUUUCUAUAUAAAACUAUCUAAUAUUUUUCUUAUCACCGGAAACAACCUAAUUUUCAUCUAAAUACUAUUUUUCUUAUCCCCAUGCUUGUACCUAUCCCUGUAAUAGCUAGUUUUUACUUAUACUCGAACCAAACAAUACCUCAGAGUAUCAUUGUAGACAUCAUUGAUGAAUAGAUAAGUUAAAGGUGUCUAAUUAGGAGUAUAUGUAUUAUAUUUUUACUAUAUAUAUAGAGAGAGGGAGAGAGAGAGAAUUCAGCUACUAUACUAUCGAUAGUAACAAGUUCUUGGUACUCAACCCUAGAGGACCACUAUAUAUAUAUAUAUAAUGUGGUAGGCCACUUUGGUAAGAGAUCACCACACGUAAUACUAGGGUUGGCUCCCAUCCGUUUCAAAAUAUCUGUACACAUCUCUCAGCAUCAAUAGGCUUUUCAUAGGCUUUACACACACCCCUUUUAGUUUUCUUUUUAAAAAGGUACGUUCACACCUUUUGAACUGGAAACGAGUAAGUCGAAUGCAUACACAAGCUAUUGCACUAACAAAGCUAGCUAGCUAGGAACUGCAUGAAAAGUAUGCACCAAAGUAGACGCAUACAUAUCAUGUAUAUAUGUUCUCAAUCUUCAUCUAAUUUUUUGUUUAUUACCUAAUUAUAUAUGGCGAAAAAGAGAAUAGUUUUUUUUAAGAAAAAAAUUACUACAAAUUGUUGCUCGACAUGAUCACAACAUUCCUAUUCACUGGAUUACCAUUUAUGACACAUCCUAAACGAGUCAUUUGGUCCACUCUGUUUAGUGUUCUGCAAUAGUUUUCGACUGUAUAUAAUUGAAUUUUAUUUUCACGGAUUCAAAUAACUUAUAUAGUUUACGGGCAGUUUAUAGCCGUUGACUUUUAAAUGUAACCAUAUUUAAGCUCCACUUGGAGAGUACUACAAUAGUUUAUGGAGGAGACAUGCAUUAAGUUACUACUCAAAGCUCACUACUUCAAAUAUUAUAGUGUUUGUUCUUUUUAAAUAAGAAAAAAAAAUCCAAAUAGUACUUAAUUGCUACGAUAAAGCAAAUAACGUCAGGGGUGACAUAAUUCAAAUUAAUUUUCUAUUAAUAACAACCAGUUUGCACAAGAAAAUUGUAUUUGUUGCAUAUAUCUUUUUGGGCACGAUGCUGUAGUGAUUCAUGCAUGCAUUUGUUUUGAGUUCUUCCUAUAAAUAAUGUUCAUCCUUUCACGUCGCAAUAUUACGUCAAUAAGUAUGUGAAAAAAUCAUUAAAAAUUAUGUGAACGAAUUUAUACAUGAAACUGAAAUUAAUUAAACCAUGUCCUCAAAGCCAUGGAUUUUGCUUGUUUACUAAUUGAUGGAGUUGAAAUUUAUAGAUAUUGUUCAUUCAUACCAAUUAAUGGAAUGAAAAAAUUUAUUUACUUUUGCCUCAUAAACUCUUACCGACCUACCAUAGUCUCUCUAUUAAAUGUUUCUUAACAGGUACCAUAAGAGCACUUGUUACUUGUUAGAAAAAAAAACAUUUAAGUUAUAACAAGCAAUUCACAUCUAUGAAAAUAAGAAUUGCGAAUUCAAAAUCGAUGGUAUUUAUUUUCUUUGUUAGAUGUGUAACCAUCGAUCAUAGAUGGUUCCGAUGAUCAUCGCCUUACGUCAUUUAGCAUGCGCUUAUAAUAAAUUUGUUCACACCGUAUAUAACACUACUACACCAACUAGCACAAGCUAGUAAGCAUUAAGAAAAUGUUUUAAUUAACUUAAUUGAGUUAGGUGUUCCCUGAUCCAUAGUGCUUAAUUACUUAAGGACUUAGAUAACAGCUAGUAGUUUUCGCAAGUUAUAGCCUAAUUCAGAAAAUACUCUUCCACUAAAAUUAGGAGACUUUGGAUAAUUAAAUGAACAAAAGAUUUUUCUUUCUUUUUUUUAAGGGGAGAAAAUGACCGAAAAUAUAAAAAAAAUUAGAAUUUAGGGGUGCUAAUUACAUGGUUUGCAAUAGUGGUCCAUUCUUAGAGGAAAUUAGAACUCAGCCAAAUUAAAGUAAUCAAAUGUUCAAAACAACUUUUGAAAAAAUAAAAGUUAAUUAUUAGUGCUAAAAAGGAAACCAACAGGAUCAUCAUUUUUGUGUCAUUUCCCUUUGUCUUUUCUAAAUAUCUCUAUUUCUGAAGCAAAAGUCCAACUACUUUUGGUGUGAUAGAAAGCCAAAAAUAUUUUUAAUAAAAUCUUUUGUGAGAUAUUUCCUAGCAACACGCAUUCUUUUCUACCGUCGAAUAACAUCGAUGACGCUCUAGAUUUGAAAAAGCACUAUCUUAUGGUAGGAGAAGAUGCAUCGAAGACUCAAAACUUGUUUGAUACAUAAACCUUUUUACCUUUUACUUUUUAGGAAAAGGAAAAGAUAUUCUUUGCCCUUUUUAUUCCGUAGGAACAAGUAUAAAAUGCCUCAUCUCAACAAGGAAGAUAUAGUGGAUAAGCAUUAAAGUCAAAAGAUUGAGUAGUUACAUGGCAAAGUCACAAACUACAACGUGCUAAAACUGCACCAAGAGGGGGUUUAAUUACAAGUUAGGUGUGGGAAGCUACUUGAAGAAGUCCAAACAAUUAAAGGAUCGUGGAGGGAGUUAUACUUAGCUUGCACACAUCCUGUUGUACUUCUCAAUCAUCAUUCAUCAUCAUCAUCAACUCAUCACCCAUUCAUCAUUAUCAACUCAAUCAAUUGCUUACUUGGUUUUGUUGCUUGAGGGGUAAGAACUGCUUACUCACUGUCCUUCCCCCCCAAAAGUGCUUUUCGCAAUCAAUCACAGUGAAAGAGACCGCAGUUUUGAGUAACUGGAGGAAUGUAUGCGUUCCAGGGGGUACUUUAGUGAAUUAGUAGUAGUUUAUGUUUUGCCGCCACGUGGAGCUCGUGCCGACGACUUUUUCCUUUUUUUUUUUUCCAAAUUUUAUGUGCAUAAUGUUUUUUAGGCCAUCGUUUGGUUCGGAGUUAAGAAAAAAUAGCUAUUCCAGAAAUAUGAAUAAGUUCAGAGUUAAAAUGGUGUUAAAAUUUUUUUGUGUUUGGUUGGAGGUUGGAGUUAGUCUAGGAUAGUGAAAAAAAGUGUUUGGUUGGAGUAGAUGGGAUAAGAAGAUAAUGAUUGAUAAAGAAGAAAAAGGUGAGGGAUCGGAAUGCGUGCGGGGUUAAAGUUGGGAGGGGAGUGGGGUUAAUGAUUGAUAAAGAAGAAAAAGGUGAGGGCUCGAAAUGUGUGCGGGGUUAAAAUUGGGAGGGGGAGUGGGGUUAGUAAACCCCACUAACCUGGUUUGGGGUGGGGUUUACUAACCCCACCCCUUAAGAGUGGUGUUUGGGUAUAAAUUGGGGGUUAAGGGGUUAUUCCACCCCUUAACCCCCAACUAAACGGUGGCUAGCUGAAUAGUUAUUUUAUGUAAGAAUGAAAUCAAGUCAAUUUUACUGUAAAAAAUCAAAAUGUAAAUGUCACAUCAAUGUCUAUAACUGUUGUAAGUAAGUAGAAGUUAUGAUAAAAAGAUAGAUUUGACUGCAAAGAUAACAUAUACUUGAUUGACUUGUUAUUGACUUUUUGAUAAAAUAAUUAUUACGGUAAUUGGUUUUUGAACUCUUUUUGGAGAAUUUCUAUUUGGAUCCCAUGUAAUAAAGCAGUAAGUAAUUAAAAAUUUUCUGCUCAAUGGAGAUACAAAAAAUUUGAUCAUAUGUUCCUUCAGCCAAUUUCUCUAAUACCGGAGCGUAAGAUAAUAUUGAAAUUUUGGGUAAAUUACACAAAUAGUUCGAACUCUUUUCUGAUUUUUUAACUGAGUCUCCAAUUUAUUGUUUUGUCGGUCAAAUUUUCAAAAUGCAGAAGUUUUUUCAAUUGGUUUUCUAUCGUGAAUCUUCCGUUAUAAUUGAUGGAAGAUGACAUAUAAUUAAUGUGACAUAUAAUGUGAGCACUGACUCGACACUACGUUGUCAUAGUUUUUUGAGUUAGUAACACAACUGUUACCCAAACUUUUUACGACUUUUCAAUUGGGUCUCUAAUUAUUUCUUUUGUCGAUCGAGUCCUCAACCUUUUUUCAAUUUUACUAACUACAACAGUCACUACAAUAAAAACGGUCUAUAGCGACACUUUUAAAUAUAGGUACAUGUCAAAAAAGUGCUGUUAACUAAAAUUACCGACACUUUUAAAAAGUGUUGCUAUAUGUAGGGUCGCUAGGUAUAUAGUGACAGUUAAAGAGUGUCGCUAUAACCUAAAAAAAUGCUGCUAAUUUACCAACACUUAUUUAAGCAUUUAGCAACUGCCGAAACUCUAUCUCGUUAGCUGCGGUGGCGGAGGAGGACGACAGGAAUGGCUCUUCGUCUAGAAUUUCAGUGGAUUGAGUGAAGAGAGAAGAAAAUAUGCUAAUUGAUUUUUCUUUUUUUUUUCUUUUCUAUUUGUAAUCGGGCCAAAUGGACUGGAUGUGGUGGGUUGAGUAGAGAAAUCUUUUAUUUUUGGUUGGAUUGGAGUUUAUAUUUAGGCAUUAGUAGAUGUUUUUUUAAGUUUUAGCAUAAAUGGGACACUUACUCAAAAGUGUCCCAAACAUGUGUACCUAUAACCUAAUUCUGUUGUAGUGAGUACCAUUCUCUAGGCUUCGUUUGGUUCGGAUAUAAGUAAGAACUGUCUAUUUCAGAGAUAAGCUUUGUUUGGUUCAGAUAUAUGCAAGAAUUGUCUAUUCCAGAAAUAUGUAUAAUUAAGUUUGGUUAUAAGUUUGGAAUAGACCAAUUGUAUGUUUGGAUGAAAAUUGAAUUGUUUCCGGGAAUAAGAAAAAUAGCUUUUAGAUAGAUAAAAUAGAAUAAAAAGAAUAGUGAGUAAUUAUAAAUAGAAAAUAAUGAUAUUGCCCCUUAUAUUAUAUUUAAAUUUAAAUUUUUAAAAUUUAAAUUUUAAAUUUUAAUAUAUAACUUUUAAAAUUGAAAAAAUAAAAAAAUUAAAUUGAAAAUUUUAAAUCUCAAAUUUAAAAAUUUAAAGUUUUAAAAUUUAAAUUUAAGAUCAAAUUUAAAUUUAAAAAUAUAAAAUUUUAAAUUUUAAAUUUAAAAAAUUUAAAAUAAUAAUUUAAAAUUAUAAAUAUUAAUUUUAAAAUUACAAUUUAGAAUUUUUUUAAUUUAAAUUUAAAUUUUAAAUUUAAAAAUUAAAUUUGAGUAAGAUUAGUUAAUCCCACCCUAAUUCCAAUGUAGGGGGCGGGGAUUGUUCCCUACUCCUAACGGGUUAAAUAACCAUGUUAAGGGUACCGUGGGAUUAACAAUUCCCACCCCAGAAAUUGUGUUUGGGGAUAAAGAGUGUUUGGGGAUAAAGGGGGAUAAUACCUUAUCCGCCGCCCCCCAAACCAAACGCAAGUGUCAAACUCAAACAAUGUAAGCAUAUUUUUGUCCCAUGUAUUGAUCUUGGCAAGUUUCCCAACUGAGGAAUAUUAUGAUUUAUGACUUUAGGUUUCAAAAAAAAGAAAAGAAGAGAAAAAAAGGGAACAUUAUGACUUCAUGAAACAAGAGAAUUAGAGAGACACUUAACUAUCAUGUAAAUUACAUGCAUCAUUUUAUAACUAUGUAUCUCCAUGGUAUAUAUACAUGUUUUGUUGCCUGAAUUCAUGAAUAGCUUUUCUACUCUGAACAGCAGUUUACAGAAAUUUGAGGAACAAACAUUGAAGUUCUCAAAAAGUUGAAAUGAAUACGUUGCUUUUGUUUACCAUAAAACUUUUUGCUUUGUCUUCGCCCAUGAAUGGUUGAAUACUAAAGUUAUACUACAUGUCUUUUUUUUCUUUUUUUCUUUUCCCUCUAUUCUCACUGCUCCAUCGUACUCGACAAAUUAGGAACUUUUAUUCUUUGUCGCAACUUAGUGAAGAGUUAUUUGAGAAUUUUAUUUCUAGUUAUUGUUAUUUCUAGUAACUCCAUUUGAAAAUUAAGUAGAUUUUUCGUAGUAGUAAACCUUUCUUGCAUCCCAUGUGCUAGCUAGUGAGGGUCACUUUUAAUUCAAAGCAGUUCACAAUUUGAGUUUGGAUUCAAAAAGCUAUGGAGAGAGUACUACCAAAUUCUAAACCCAAAAUAGAGGCUAAAAGUUUUUAUAUGAUCACCUCUACACACAAAACCAGGUCUAAUAAUCUGUAUGAACGGAGCUGAUUUUGUUGGAAUUUUGAUUUGACUUGGUUGGUUGGUUCAUCCGUUGAAUCCAAAUUUUAAUAAAGACCUCUUUUGAAAACUUAAAAAAAAAAAGGAAUUUGGCUAUAACAAAACUUAAUUUUUGCUUUAGUUAUCUAAAAAUACUUUUAAUGCUAGAAAAAGCAACUUAAAAUUUAAAAAAGCCAGAAAAAUUUCAAGGUGUAAUAAUACUAAAGUAGUUGGCAUCUAAAUUUUUUUUUUUUAAAAAAAAAAAAAACUAAAAUCCAGUGACUUUGGUAGAUUUAUAAGUAAAUGGAUUUAAACAACUCAACCACCAGUUUAGUUGCGAAGCUUCUUCAUCACACACCAAGUCAAAGAAAAAAAGGUACAAAAAUUAUUUUUAAUUACUAAGAAGUUAAAAACAACCAUGUGCUUAGCCUUAGCCAUUGAAAUUGACUACGUAUAUGCUGAAACUUCCUAUUCAAAUGAAUUCUCUCGUGCUUCCAAAAGCAUCUCUAAUGCAUUAAUUUGUUAGUUUACUUUUAUUAUUUUUCGUUAAAAAGGUCAUUGAUGACAUCAAAAUACAUGAUGAGAUAAUGGCGUGUGAAAUGGGUCUUAAACUCUUCAAAGUCCUAAAUUGUAAGUCAUGGUCUUUCUUUUACUCUUCUAGAAACACGAGUAGCUAAUUUUUAAAUUGAUAGAGAGAAAAAAAGCCUUUUCCACAAGUUUUUUUUCGUAGAGAGAAUUUUGGUUGACAUUGAGGGCUUGUUUGAUUCAAGGGUGAAAUUAGAAUGGAUAAUGGAAUUGAAAUGAAUUAGAAUGGUAAUUAGAUUGGCCCACUCCCCCAAAACGUUUGGCUCAUUUGUGGAUUGGAAAUUGAAAUGAGUUAUUCCUAUUUCAUUGUUUAGUUCAUAUAAACUAAAAAAUUAUAGGAUACCAUAAUAAUAAUAAUUUAACUCUCAAAUAUAAUUUUAUAUUAUUUAAAAUUUAUGAAAAACAUAAUACUAUUCUCUAAUGAGUUUUCCAAAAAAAAAAAUUCAGAUUUAUUUUUAAAAAUUUUUAUGCAAGAAAAAAAAUUAUAAAAAAUUAUAGGAUAGGUUUUUUUUAGGGGUAAGAGGGGUGAGGGAUAGGGUUUUUUUUUUUUUUGAUGAGAGAGGGGUGAGAGAUCGUAUACAGAGAGAGGAGGGUGAGAUGGUCUCAUGGGCUUCGGGAAUGAAAUCUCAAUCCGGGCGGGGAGACCGGAAUCAAGUUAAAGGCUGAUGGGCCAUUCCCAUUUCAGUCCGGAAUAGAAAUCCCAAACCGAUUCCUGCGAACCAAAAUAAAAUUAAUCGGAUUUGAUCAAACCGAUUUCCAUUCCAUAUUCAAAAUGGAUGAAUUUUGCCGUGGAUUCGGACCAAACAAGCCCUGAGUUCAGAUUUGAUUUGUUUCGAGCUUCUAAGUUUCGAAUUUUGCCGUGGAUUCGGACCCGAAACAAACCCAAUUUUCUAAUGAUUGGGCCAAACCAGGCCUUUUUGGGCCCAAAUUAAGGGUUGGAAUUUGCAUGCUAAUGUGAAUGAGGGUGUAAGCAUUUAUGAGUCUACUAAGGAACUCCGUUCAAGUCCGAGUGGCCAUUUAGGAGACAAUUACCCCAUGAAAGCCAUCUAGAUGUGAAAGUUCCCAGUAAGGAAUAAUUAAAGAAAGAAAGAAAACCAUUAAAACAAAACAAGAUGCGUAAGAUUCUACAAAAGUGCUACUUAGAAAAAAAAACAGUUCAAAAAAUCCAAAAUCUUUCAAUUAGCUUAACAUAUUUUGGCCAAAAUUAGAAGUAUAAAACUCUAAAUUGAAGCAAUUGUGAACAAUGGGGCUUAGCUCAGCUACAGUUAGCCAUUAUACAAACUCACAUAUAGCCCUUGUUUGGAAAACCGAAUAAGAAUUAUACCGAUCUUACGAUUUAGAGUAAUAAGAUAUGACAGUGCAUUUCCCUCUCCAUGAAGCAAAAACCUUGUUUAUACUUCCACUACAAUUUACUUUCACCAAAUCUAAAAUCUAUAUUGAGAAAAAUGAAAAUGAGUGCAAAGAAGCGGAGUAUCCAUAUCUAAGUCGGCAAAUUUUCGUUCAAGUACCGAGAUACCGCAUCUCUCAGUGUAACUCCAUUCUUAUCCGCCGAAUCGCAAAACUGUUGGUUAUAACUCACAUCAUGGUGUUGCGAUAAUGGCACUUCGUCCUUCGCUUUAUCCUCGAUGUCUAUUAUUAUAUUAUGCAGCAAACAGCAAACAAGAAUUAUUCUCGGCAAUCGGUGCUUAUCGGGCCGCCACAUCUCCCCCUGAAGGAACUUCCACAUUUCUUUGAAUCUUGCCAAGGCUUUUCGAGCCACCAUUCCUGUCGCCUUAAGCCGCUCAUUGAAACCGUGUUUGGCUUCUGACGUAAGCUCUCUCCCUCUGUAGGGAGUCAGAAGCCAAGGAAGAAGUGGGUACCCUUCAUCUCCAGCAAUGUACUCUCUUACUUCAGCUCCUGAGAUUUCCAUGCCUUUUCCGUUAAGCCUCAUACCUUUUUCACAUAGUUUAUAAAAGCCCGAGCUUUUUAAAACCACCGGCUUAUUCAUGCUGCCAGGCCAGCCGGUCACUACAUCUCUGAACCUCAUGGAGGGGUCCACAACGGCUUGCAAAAUCAUACUGUGGUUCUUUUCGUAAUCGAGCCACACUUUGCUAUUGGGUUCUGCCGAAGGCAAGCACAUUACAAUGUGCGUGGUGUCAAUGGCUCCGCAGCAGUUUGGGAGGCCGCGGAUUUUUUCGAAUUCGGAUUUUAUGUUUUCCAUUUCUUGAACAUUGGGCCACUUGAGGUGGUGGAGACCGCGCUGCUCCAUGGAUUCGAUGAACCGCCAGGUUAGUUGUGAGACGGUCGAGUGGUUCAAACCGAAUGAUGAGCCGACAUUGACCAGCGAUGAACCUGAGCUUAGCCUUGUUAGGGCAACGGCUACUUGGUCGCUUAUUGAGAGGGGCUUGCCAUCGCCGAAGGUAAAGUGUGAUGUUUUUGCGAUUAAGUCCUCCUUUACUAGUGAGCAUAUGUAGUCAAAUGUCUUUCUUGAGAAUCUGAAGAGACACUCAAAGUGUUGCUUGUCCUUUGAUGAAAAUAAGGGUCCUAGGCAUACAAGAGAGAUAAGAGAUUUAGUAUUCAAAUAUAGAUGGCAAUCAUGUGUAGAAGAACUACACUGAAGUUAGGAAAGUGACAUUAACUAAAAGAGAAAAAGGUAUGAUUCUUUGUCAUUCUAGAAGCUGAUGGCUAGUGCCUACACUGAACUGCUAUGAAGACAAAGUGGAUGGUUUGGAUCCCUAAUUUGCAUCUAUAGUGAUUUCAUGGUUAGAUAAUCAGAAAAAUGAAUUCAUGGUUUGACAUAUUCAACGUGAAGUGUUCGUUUCAAGAUAUUCUUCACAGAAAGCUUGUGAAAUUGUUAUCAGUGACUACUGCACAGAAACAAUGUACACCAUAUAUAGGUCAUUUUUUACUGCUUUUUUUUUGAGAAAAAUCAUUUUUUACUGCUAAAGAUAGAAAUAUAGGACCUACUUCGAAAUAAUUGUACAUUCAAUCACCUCUCACCUUGCAUUUUGUUGCAUAGAAACAGUGUCCUUACAAUGUAUGCAAGUAUUUCAGAUUAGAAAAAAGGAAACGGAAAAUAGUCAUAUUAGUAAGAGAGACUUCAUUUUCUCUUUCUGAAUACAAAAAUAAGCAGCAGCUGGAUAAGGGCUUGAUGGUUGGUACUCGAGAUCACACGUUUGGAGCCUAUUUAUUUUACAUUUCUAGCUGAGCUCAUUUCUAGAAAAAUGAACGAAGCGGAUAACAUACUAUCUUUCUCCCAAAAAAAAUAUAGUAACAUAAAAUAAAAAUAAGCAGCAUAACAAGUUGUAUUGAUAGUUUCAGAAAGGAGAACUAAAGAUGUCAAAAUGAGGGCCCAGAAUAAGUUGGUCACAACCCAAGGACAUUACGGUCCUUGGGUUUCAUAGAAUGCUACCGGGAAAGAUCAAGGGAAAAGUUAAAGCAAUCAAACUUGGGAUUCUUUCACAGGAGGUGUUUUCAACUGCAUUACAGAUUCAACUGCAUGAGAGCCCAAAAAGCUUCUUUGGCACAUUGCAAUUUUAUCCAGAGAGAGCGGUUGGCAUUAUAGAUAAGGCCUAGCUGUUGCGUCUCUACCUAUGCGCAAGUUGAAUGCAGGUGAAAAUACAAUAGUUAAGGAGAGCCAUCCUACAUGGGGAAUAAUCACCACCAGCCCACCUAUCAAAAAACAAGGAAAAAUUUAUCUACAUUGGAGAUAAUCUCAUCACCUUAUGUAUAACAUGACAAUGUCUAUAGAUACAUUGGAGAUAAUCUCAUCGCCCAACGUAUAACAUGACAAGAUUUAUAGAUGCAACUUCCGCCUGCAUCCACCCAAAUAGAAAAAUUAUAGCUGCGCCAGUCUCAACUAUAUAUAACCAAGCCUAGAGGGUGUAAUUGUAACUGCUGCAUGUCCAAUAUUAUGCAUCUCUAAUUAGACAACAUUUAUAAUUAUAUCUAACCGAACAACCCCUUGGUGAUGGUAUGAACAUUCAGGCGGUAGAGAUACCCCACGAUCCAAUAUCUGUGCUGGAAAACAAUAUCGUAUAAUAACAAGCAUAAUCUUGUUUAACUCCUAGAAUGCCAUCAUAUUUUCUACAUGUUGCCUUAUGACUACACAAGUACAAUUAUAAUAUGCGAAUGUUUACUCUUGUAGGUUCUGAUUUUAACUUACAGUCAGAACCUAUAAUAAGUGAUACUGGCUUCCAUUCGUCAGUCAACUUUGCCGUCAUCUCAGGGAUUUCUUUUUUUUAUUUAAAUCAUUGCAAUUUUUUACAGUGGGCAAGAAGAAACACUUACGUAAUCAGAUCAGCAAAAUAUGCAAUUGCAUUUCAGCUGUUUUAUAGUAAGUCAAUUGUCUACCAAAUUAACUUCUACUCUAAAUGUGUGUUUGGCUUGGUUGGAGUUAUGUAGUUUGAGUAGGGCUGUUAUAAAAAACACAAAAGAAUUUUUCAUUGGAAAUUUCUCCAAUUGCUUAUUUAACUUUCCACCACGGAAGAUUUUUAUAUUCUGUUUGCCAAAGGGUUGGCUACUAUUUAUUUACAUAGAGAAGCCAUUCUUACUGAUCCCUAAGAGUCCACCUAUAAGGUCAUAGAUAUCUCCAAGUGCACACCUAAAAAGUGAAAACUUUAUCUACAUGAACAAUCAACACUUAACCUUUUGACUCAAUUAUCCUUGUGACUAGUGGUGAAACAAAAUUUCUAUUUGACUAAGAUUGGAAGACAUUCACUUCGUCCUUAAGAAGGCAAUUUGGUUCACCAAAAUAGAGACCAAGAACAACUAGGAGUACUACUAUGAAGGUUCAAUAUGGGCUUACUUAGCUUGAAAUAGCAGUUUGAUGAUGUCAAAAAUGGAAUAAUCAAUUACAAAAGGCUGCAAAACCACCAUGGAACAAGCGCUUUGAGAUCUAGUUUGACUGGAACAAAGCUAUGGAGUAACUAAUCGUAGAUGAAGUGAUACUCUUAUUCUAGUGUUCCCUAUCUGGCUAAUCUUUUUUACUUAAAAAAUUAUAUAUAUAUUCUCUUAUUGCAGGCAGAAGUGUGCUAGCUAGUGUUUCCUGACUAGAUAAAAGCAUAAUAGUUUCAGAUGUUCUGUAGUGAGAUAUGACAUUACACAUCAUAUACAGAGGAUCAAUCAACAAAAUCACCAUAUCAGCCAACUUUAAUAUAAGAAGAAAUUUACAACUUUGACAUGGAAGGAAAGAGAUCAUAUUGAAUCAUCGCUGACUAAUACUAGAGAGCAUUCAAAGAGCCUUAUCCAUUUGGACAUUGUUAAACCAUUCUUAUGGCAAAAAAUGAAAAGGAACUGCUUUACAUUAAAAUGUAGGAUAAAAAAUGGGGCUUGUUGUCAGUUUUUACAACUUAAAUUGAGCCAUAUAAGAGAAUAAGCAGAAUAAGCAGUCUGUUGAUCAAGUUGUCUGCUUUUACUAUGAUAAAUUAAAGAGCAAAGACCAUCAGAGUUUAAGCCAAGAAUUCAAUAAACCAAAUAUAAACAAAGGUUCAAAAUAUUGCUUUUGGUUAUGGUUUCUGGUAUUCAGGCAAUGAGUGCUUUAAUUGCAGUCUUGGGUUUCGAUUCCCGAUUUCGUUAGAAGAUUCAAAUUUCCGCAAGGACCAAAAGAAAUAUAGAUAAUUGGGUCAGCGUAACAAACAUAUUUUCGCAGCAUUUUGAUAUGCUAAAGGGAUCAGUAAUGCCUCUCUUACUUAGUUACGGAGAACAUGGCUAACUUGCAUUCCGUUGUUUAUUAAAAUAUCAUGUAUGAAAAAAAUAUAAGAUAUCUACAAAUAGAUAAAGACCGGCAUGUGUAAGCUACUUUUGGCCAAUUAUGGCCUACAUACAAAAAAUAAAGCCCUCUUUAGAGUUACUUUCCUUUUAUUGAUUGAUAGACAACUCUUGACACCAAAAGGAGUUGGUUUUGGACUUUCAUUGCAUAAAUCACUGUUUCUAGAAGCAAUGGCAAAUGAAUUGAGACGAUCAUAAUGAUAUCAUCAGCAAAAGAAGUAAAAAAUUGUAAUGCUAGAAAAGAACCACUGUAAGUGUUUUAUUAUGAAAAGAAAACAGAUCCCUCCAUCAAUUGGAAGUAAAUAAAAGCUAAUGGUGGCUUCUCUAGGAAUACAUUGCUUCUGGGGAGAGUCAAAAAAAAUACCUACAUGUUAUCUAUUUGUACUUAAGAAUUCCCUGGAGCAUAAGAGCUACUCUAAAGAAACCGAAUUAAUCCUAAAUAGUAUCCACCAAUCUAUGUCAUCUAUAAGUGUUUUCCAUUUUCAACCUGACAAUUUAUUGCUGAUAAAAAAGAUACAGAUUGAGACUCGAAUUCUUUUUAUACCCGAAAUUUUUUGGAAAGAUCAGCAUAUUCAAUACAUUAAGUAAACUCGCAGAAGUCUAUAGUGUUUAUAUAGACAAUGAGCAAACUGUUUAAAAUACAUCGUUACGUCAUCAUCAACUAGCAAUGUACUGAUCACCUGUUCAUACUACAUGAUUAUUGUAAACUUCAACACAUUUAUACGCCACAAACUACGAAACCCAAAUCAGAAAGGAAAAUAAAAUUCUUCUUCUUUUUACCUUUCUCUUCUCAUCAGUAAAGUCCAGUAAUAUAGGACAUUAUCACGCAAUCAAAUGCACAGACAAGGCAUUAUAAGCAAGGCAAAUUGUGGCGCGAAAUGUCCACAAGUUCACAGCUUUAAUUCGGAAAAAUGACAGGCGUCUCAAUUGACUGUAAUGCAACAAAAAUAGCGGAAACUAUCAGUUUGAAACAACUUACCGUUCACCGUAAAGACCUUAGAAACCCUAUAAGUAGAUGUGAUUGGCCAUCUCAAACACACAAGUGACCCAAAACCUGCACUUUCCUAAUCUGCAUAGGAAUUAUGCCCUAGAUACCUCUCUUAAUCACUAAUACAUGAUCAGCUCCAAUUAAACGUUCUCAACAACAGAGAAGCACGAAUGGCGCACGUAAACACUGACCCCCUCCAUUCUAUAAAAGCGAUUUUGGCAAAACUAAGCUACAUUAAGUAAGGAUCCGAUUUUGAUAUAUAAAUUGGUAAUAGAAAAGGCAAAAUCGUAGACGGUAAUUUGUAUUCUAGUUCGCAGAUGUAAAACCAGUAUCAUUACGUUUCCUAACCAAUAAAUUGUAAUUAGUUUAAUUUCCGACUAGAAGCCUUUAUGAUAAUCAUUAUGCCCAAUCCAUCGUAUUUCCAACAUACACAAAGCAACACAAAUUACAUUCUCACAUGUAAACAAAUGUAAGAAGCUGCUUAUACCAACUAAUUCCAUUAACCCAGAGUAAACAGUAAUGAAACAGAAUCAUACAACUCUAGAGAGAGAACAUGAAUCACAAGAGAUGGAGAGAGAGAGAGAGAGAGAGACCUGUGAUCCUCUUCGAGAAGGAGUCCCACCAAUCACCACUCUCCGGGCCCGACGACAUCGGCGGGGCAUCGGCGGCGGCGGAGGCGAAGGCGCUUCUCCUCUCGGGCUUCUUCUCCGCCCUCUUCCUCUUCUUGGAGCCUCUCACAGGCCCCAUGAUCGCAGCUCCCACCACCAACAACGACAGGGAGAAGCAAAUGGCCCGAUUCAGAGCUCAAAGAGAGGAGAGAUCGAAGAACACGACCCGGGAACCACAAGGCGAAGAGGAGAACCACGGGACCCAAAAGUCCCCUGCUUGGAUUAGCAUGCGCGAGGAGAGGAGUGUGGUGAGAAGAGGCAUGCAAGAGUAUGCUCCCUGGGUAGAGAGAGAAAGAAGAAAGAGAGGGAGGGGAGGGGUUGGUAGAGAGAGAAUGUUGUAGUGAGGAGGAGAUAGAGAGGGAGAGAGAGAGAGAGAGAGAAUGCUUGUAGUAUUAUUAUGAGCAUGCAAGGAGGUGUUUUUUCAUGGAUGGAUUGUGGAUUUGAGAUGGCUACAAAGGGAGGAGAGAUGCAGCAAGAGAAGAGAGAGAGAGACAGAGAGAGAGAGAGAGAGAUAGAAAGAGAGAGAGAGUGUGUGUCUUUUAGGGGCAAUUUAGCAAAUAAAACGGAGUUUGUGUAUAAUGGGAGACUUAACUGUUCGGCCCUGCUGCACAGUACAGUAUUAUUUCAUAAAAUUUCAUAAAAAUUUAGUCUAAUUGUUAUUAUUAAAACUAGUUAUAAAAUACUUAAAACUUUAUAUUGGCCAACUAUCAUAUCACCGGACUACAAUAGUUAUGAGGACAGAUAUUCGAACCUCAGAGUGCACCAAAAUUUAAGAUUUGAGCCCCAGCUUUGAAUUUAGCAUAUAUUAAGGUUUAAGAAAGAGUAUAAAAAUGAUAAGAUUAAGAACAACUUCAAUAUAAAAAAGAAUAAUUAUUAUAAAUGAAAAAACAAAAAGCAAAAUAGAGUCAAAUAGAUUUUUUAAUAUUUUCCAUAAAAGUGUACAAAAACAAAAACAUCCUCUCAACAUGCAAUUAGCAUAAUGCCCCUAUUGAGACUCUUUUUUAUCUCAUUAUGCACAAUAUAUAUCAUUGAUUUGGGAUAAAACCUGAGUGGCGUACCAGCUAUGACAAAACUUUUUUUUUUGAAAAAUUAAAGAACUUGUAUUCUACUUUGGUUUAUAUUAUAUGAUAGCAUAGUUGGAUUACUGAGGGGAGAAGAUCUAGCUAAACCACCUUCAUGUUGAUAUAUGACAAUGAGUAGAUCAAUGUCUCUAUUUAUGGAUUUGUAUAUAAUUUUCUCUAUUUUCUUGAUGCUUUCUUGAAGAUCUAAAUUUUAUAAGAAUAUAUAGAUAUGAUCUAUCUUAGGUGACAGUAUAUAUUUUCCUUUUUGGUAAUUUAUGCCCUAAGUUGGUAAUUUUCAGAGAAUUGACCCCUUAAUGAUUCUUAUAUGUAGACUUGAGGAAUGUGGAAGGUGAGAUAAGUUGAACUAGUCCUUGCGUUGAACAAUGGGUCACAAUGUAUCAGUUUUGGAUUAUUAGUAGAUUAUUUUGCAUCUGAAUCAAUUUAGUUCAUCAAUUUUGACUUGAGUUUAAUUUCGUCUUAAAAGCUCCAAUUCCGCCAAUUCAGCCUCACAUGUUAUGGCCCUAAUAUUAAUUCGGAAAAAGUACGUCGAGCUUUUCUGAACUUUAGUACGAUUACGCUUUACCAUGUAAAUAUUAAAAAUGCUAAGAAAUUUACACAAGCACAGGAACUACACUGACAAAAUCAAAAUAUGAGAAUUUCGGCAUUAAAUACGCAAUUAAUCCUUCUAAUGUUUACAUGGUUAUCACAUGGGGACAUUGAUGAGAGUUUUCAAAGUAUUUCGCUGCAGAUCAUCACAAAUCAACUUUUGAUGCCGUUUAAUGUUAGAGAUGUAAAUAUACUCAAUGGAUCAACUAGCAAUUAAUCUGAAUCUAAUUAACCCAAAGCAUUGGGUCCAGCACCCUAAUAAGAGAUUCUAAGCUUAUCAAUUUGAGUUUGGAUUUUAAAUUUGAUUUAAUUUUUGCAUUGCAUUUGUCCAAAAGUUAAACCAUGUUAGAUUUGUAUCCAGGACAAGCCCACUGGGCCUCAUUUCGACCAGAGUUUUGGACGCACAAUUGGCUCAUUGGACUCUAGUUGGGCCUUCAUGUAUAAGCCUUAAAAAAUUCCAUUGCUGCCUCAGUUUAGACAAUAUUGUACAUUCCAAGGUUCUAUUUGUCUCCUUCAUGGAGAGUGUAGUAUUAUUUGAUAUAAUUAUCCUUUUUCUAGUGUUAUUAUUAUUAAAAAAAAGAGUGUUACUUCAAAUUCCAAUAUUCAGCGCCACGGCUCGAUUUGCUUAUCUCAAUGCCUUUAGAUGAAGGAGUUAUACGAGAAACUAUCUAACCUGUGUUAAAAAUAGGUUCUCGGGAGGGUCUUAAGGUGAGGGAACUGUAGCCAACUUCAAACAGUAAAAAAAUAAAAAAUAAAAAAUAAAAUUUGUACCAUCAUAGUAUAUAAAGAAGUUUUACAUCUUUUGUUUUUAAAAUUUGUCAACUUACAAGGGGUUUUUCGUAAAGUUACAAAUCCAAACCAAGUGGAACAUGCAUGUCACGUGCGAGCGGGUGGUAAUCAUCUUGGGCGGCUGUUUCGAAGUAGUUCAGCAACGGGGAUUUAAUGCAGGAGGGGGGAUUAAAGUCAUGGUCCAUCCACUGUACAAUCAGAUAUAUGAACGAAGAGUUAGCUGCCACGUGUCCCGAUAUUUCCGUAUCAGCCUAUCAACUGCUCGUCGAGUUCGUAUAUCCUGUGUUCUUGGGAAGCUAUUGCCUGGACCUGGUCCACCACGUAAUCUGUAGGCCGCGUCGUCAUUCGCGAACUAAUUAUCUUUGCCUUCAAAUUAUACCUUACUUUUUUUUCCCUAGUAAAUUGUAACUACCAACCAAUUAAAUACUUUAGUUAUCGUAUCAGAAAAAUAGUAUAAAAAUUGUAAGCUCGUAUAUCAUUACUUAGAGGAAUUUAUUUUUUUCGAAGGGUAAAAGUGGUGUAUGAUAGAUACUUUGCGCAGUCCAUGGUUGAUGUGGUGGACCAGGUUUAAGAGUACAAUUGGGCCCACUAAUGGGCCCUGCCGAACACAUAGGGUUGUCAUGGUUUUGGGCUUUUCUCUCUGCGGCUGAUGUGGAAAAAUAUAGGUAUUUAUAAUGGACAUUAAGAAUUAAAAAUAAAUCUCGUAUCUGUACUUUCAAUUCAGCAGUCGAAUUAACUUCAUCAGAAAUAAAUUUCUAAAUAAAGAAAAGGCUAUGACUUCUCCUUUAACUCGGACUUUUUUUUUGGGCUGGGGUUGGCCAAGUCAAUUUUCACUUGCUCUGAUACAUUUUCAGCGUAGUUAAUCAUAUUAUUUUAAUCCCAAUUCAUAUUCAAAAUAAAAUACUACUGGAUUUUUCCUGGAUGAAAUAAGUCGAAAGUGAGAUUAGUUGGGUCAGGGUGGAGCUGUGUCCAUUAUGUCCAAUUUGGAAUUAACAUAUAAACAGUGUAAAAAAUUUAGAUCGAGCAAGAACGUUACUGUUAGGGAAUGCUUUGCUAGUGAAGGAUGGAGUUGAAGGAAAAUGUUAAAGAGGAUUGAUUCAGCGAUUCUAGUUUGUAACACGGCAAUACAUGAACUAAAGCUUAAGCUUGUGGAGAAAAGCACCACAAACAACUAGACGAGAUCUUACGGCGAUGGAAUGAGGGGCACAAGUUCUCAGUCAAAUUCAUAUAUAGGAUGCUUUGCAACGGGAGUAUUAGAGAUGUUUUAUCACUUAAGAACUGGGGGCUGCAAAAUUUCAUUGAAAGUGAAGAUCUUUUUUAUAGUUAGCACUUAAGAAAAGAUUCGUCACAGUAGACAAUCUACUUAAGAGAGGGCGGAUAGGGACCAAGCUUGUGUACUCUCUGUUGACACUUGCCAGACAGUUCACCAUCUAUUUUUCAGAUGUGUGUAUAGUAGCUUUUUACUGGCCUCGAUAUUCGAGCGGUCUUGACGAUGUGUGGCUUCUUUGGGAGAAGUUGGUACGAAGAGGAAACUCUCUAACUUAUGGAUUGAACGUGUUCACGCUGACGGCAAUCUGGUGAACAAUUUGGCUAGAAAGAAACAAUAUAAUGUUUGCUCAAACCCUGUGACGAUCAUUGCGAGAAUCAAGAACCUUGCAAGAUUUUUUUUUUUUUUUUGGAGAAAAAAAUAGCAUGUUAUCUGUUUCAUUCAAAAGGAAAAUAAAUUUAGCUACAAAAUAUGGAGACAGCUAAGGCCUCAAUAAAUAAGAACGUGAAACACACGCGCGCACACACACGCACGCAAAAAAAAAAAAANAAAAAAAAAAAAGAAAAAGAAAAACUAGACACCUUGCAAGAUUUUGAAAAACAUUUUGUUGACCUUUAGUUUUUUAUUUUUAUUUUUAGAAAACUAGUUGUCAUAUAUCUAUAGCCAAGUUCAUUAUUAUCAAACAAUGAAGUUGGUAGCGUGUUACCUUAUUAUUUUUUUUUAAAAAAAAUCAGGCAAUAUAACUUUGGUGGUCCACAGCUGACGUGGCAGUCCUAUUUCACGUAAAAGUUUCUCCUUAACUACGCUCACCUUACACGUCAUUCUCCCAGUUUCUCCUUAACUACGCUCACCUUACACGUCAUUCUCCCGAGUCAACACCUAGAAGCCCAGGGGUAAGCAUCGUGACGAACUGCAUGGAGUCUAUCCAUAUUUUCUAUAUUUACGCGCGGCGCCGCGUGGGAAAAGAAAAAUCCCGUGCGCGGCACCGCACGACGGCACGAGCCACCCAAACGCCGUUUACGAACCUUCCGUCGCGAAUCUCCACGUAAAUCCAACGGUCAUAUCACAUCCCACGCGUCCGACUCGCGACCGUUCCCCUGUGUCCGCGUUUCCUCUGGUGCUAAGCAAUGACUCAUCCUCCGAAGGUCACGCGAAGCUCCACUGUGAAACCGAAAAAAAGUGCGCCCAAAUACCAACCGAGUUUCGUGUGGGCCCCACCGAAUAUUUCUUACGUGUCACUCUCUGAUUGGGCCUCGCCUUUUACUUGUUCUCCAAGUCGAGCUAGUUCGAUACCUAUAUAAAGGGAACACUUGCAUAGAGUGUGACACAAACACUGCAAGAUAUUGAGCUCUAAUGAAACCUUAUAACGACUUCAAAAUAGAAGAAGAAGAAGAAGAAGAGAAGAAGCAUAAAUAUAUGGAUACAAUGAAAACGGCGAAUCUCCUUCUAUCCCUUUCAUUGGGGUCGCAUGUGAUCGGAAAGCCGCGCAAUAAGACAAAGAGAUCGAGCACUGCAGCCGCCGCCGCCGACGGUGUCUUCGAGUGCAAGACCUGCAGCCGCCGCUUCGCGACGUUCCAGGCCCUCGGUGGCCACCGCACGAGCCACAACCGCGCUCGGUCCCGACCCGACGGUUUGAGCCUGAGCCCGCGAGACGCGUCCAAGGCGAGGGUCCAUGCGUGCGCGCUUUGCGGUGCCGGGUUUGCGAUGGGGCAGGCGCUCGGCGGGCACAUGCGCCGUCACCGGGCGACCGAAGUGGCAGAUCUUAUCGGAAAAAAUAGUGCUAUGGAGAAGGUUGUGAACUUGAAUGAGAGUUCUUUGGAGGCUGGUUGUAGCGGGGGCUCCGAGUAUCGCUUGUUGGAGUUGUUCGUGUAGUAAAAUCAUUAGCUAGUGUUUUAGUUUCUGCAUAUAUGAAACAUAGAGAUUUGUUGAUUCUUUCUUCGUGAUAUAUUUUCAGAUUUUGUUUUUUUAUAUGCAUUAUCUUUUAGUAUGGUUCACGGUGUAAGUAUUGAUCUCAUUAUAGAUGUUGAUUAAUAGUUAUGAGCUUUUUUUAAGAUUGGUGUGUGUAUAUAUAUAUAUAUAUAUAUAUAUAUAUAUAUAUAUAUAUAUAUNUAAAAGAAAUAGUUAAACCUGUCCAAAAAAUUGAAAGCUAGCUAAAUUAACUAAAUUAAUUAAUCAUAGAAGUAGAAAUAUUAUGUUUUGAAUUUCCUUUACCCAAUUGCAAUAUAUUCUAUAUUCAAAUCGAGCUCAAAAUCAGCCAUGUAUAGAAGGACGUACACUUUACUAAUUAUGAAUCUUGACGAUUUGUGUGUGUAUAUAUAUAUAUAUAUAUAUAUAUAUAUAUAUAUAUAUAUAUAUAUAUAUAUAUGUGAACACGUAUUUGAGUAUAGUAAUUAAAGUCAGCCUCUAGGCAUAAGCAUUACAGUAAUCAGAUUCAAUAAAUUUAUUUAAAUCAACUCUAUUAAGUAGUAAUAUCAGUUAUGUAAUUACAGUUGAUUCACAACAAACAAAUUAAUUAAUGUUGAACUCAAUCUUGAUAAUUCAUUAAACUUAACGCUAUUAUCGUAAUUUGUAUGAACUACAUGUGAAUUUCAUGCGCUUAUAUUAAAAGAGCGACGUUUGCAGUAGUUUUGAAUGAAAAUGUGAUUGGAUAUAUAAAAGAUUUAGACACUAGUAAUAAUAAUUGGAUUUAAGUAUUUUGAGUUGGUGUUUGGGCCUAACGAGUUAUUGUUGCUAGUGGGCUGGAUCGUUACAUUUGGUAUUAGAGCCGAUUCAUCAGCCAGAAAAUGUGUGGCAAGUUUCGGCUAAGUCAGGAUUUGAAAGACAAAAUAAUAGACGAUGUCGGAGUGUGAAUGACAAAAUGACUGGCUAUGUCUGGGUUUUGAUGAUAAGGCUAGCGAGACGAGUCUCACAUCGCUUGAUGAUCUUAGGCUGUUUGUGUGUUUGGACUGACGAAGACGUAAGGACCUAUGUGUGAUGGCUCUCGACUGAGUCAGAGUCUAAAAGAUAAGAUGAUAAGCGAUGUCGGAGUCUAAAUGACAAAAUGACCAACUAUGUAAAGGUCUGAAUGGCAAAACUAGUGAGACGAGUCUCACAUCGCACGAUGAUCUUGGGUUUAGGAUCUUAACGGAGGAGUCUGUCACAUCCCAAUAAUCUCACAUCGAACAGAAAUAAAAAUUUGAUUGGAUGUAUAAGAGAUUUAGACAUUAGUAAUAAUAAUGGGUUUAAACAUUUUAGGUCGGUGUCAGCCGGUCAACUUUCUUAUGUGAACAAAGAAGAUUUGGUGACUUGUAUUCGUGCCUGUACAUCACUUAAACACGCUUCCAGGUCAGUAGUGGCCUCCAACCGCUUUGUCUAAGUCGACAGUUAUGUGGAUGUUUCCUUACAAGUCUUAGGCUCUAAUUUAAGACCAUCUGAAAAGUGGGUGGCUUACGUACAGUUAUUUUUCUAAUAAAAAUAAAACUUUCGCAAAAUCUUGCUGCCUAAGCUAUUCAUCUCCAGAAAUUCGGAUGACAUAUCUUAGCUUUAAAUUUUAAUUUAUCACCCAAACUUUCAGAAUUGAUACUAUUAAGUUUCACCAUCUAAUUUAGAUUACUAAAUAUUGAUACAUCGUUGGCGUAAAAAUAAUGCAACAUUAUAAUUAUUGAGAUAGCAUCAAUUAACUCAUUUUUUGGUUAGCAGUACUUCAAUGAUUAGUCAAUUAAUUAAAUUAGAUUCUAAACACGCACUUUAUCCUAAUUUAAAUUCAAAUAUCAAAAUCUCUCAUUUUUUUAAGAAAAUGGUAACAUUCUACCGCUUGGUUAUUGUUUUCUAAAAUUAAAUUUAACUGAAAAUAUGAAGCAAGUAAGUUUGAAAUUUGAAAACUUGAAUAAUAAUUUUCAAAUUGCUUGCCACUUGCACUAGAAAUGGACGUUUGGUAUCAAAAUAUCUGUGCUUGAAAAAUUGUGGGUUGGUUCUUGGGUGAAGGUGUGGACCCGGUUCACCGAAUGAAAACAGUCGUCGGCCACCGCGGCGCGAACCGCGUAACGCAAUAUUUCUGCGGUGUGAAAACGCUGAACCCGCGGAAAAUGACCACGAAGCAAAUUAACCCAUCUACACGUUUGAAACCUUCUUGUGGGCUCACAUUACCCCGAUGUCACAUGUCUCGUCCUGAUUGGACAAAUUCUCCAACUUCCUCCCCAAAAGACUGGUCCACGAACAACGUGGCACGUCCUAAUUGGUGGAGUUCCCUUGCUUCCUUUCCAUGCAAAAAAAAGUCUAAAAUACACCAAUUAUAUUACUGAUAAUACGAUUAAUCUUUUUGGAUUCACUUUGUUCCAUCAUGGUUAUUAGAAUUUUUUUUUAUUAUAUUUUUCUCUCAAGUAGAGAAAUAUGAUUGAUUUGUUAUUGAUAAUAUAGUGUAAGUGUUACAUUGUAAGUUUUCUUAACUACAACAUGCAUGUAGUUAUUGAGAACUGAGGAACCAAAUACAAAUGUGCAUGUAUAUCAACCCCUUUCUUUUGAGUAAUAAUAAUAUGUUUAGAGCUCGAUUUGAAUCACAGGAUUCACAGCAGAGGAGAAAAGGAAGAGAAAAGAGCAGUUUGAAACAAACAUUCGUGAAUAUCGCUUGCUGGAGCAGUUUCUAUAGGAGUUUGAUGCGAUGCAAAUUCUUUUAUAAUUAAUUAGAUUUGUUGUUUUGAUCCUUCGUUUUGUCGCUCGAGUUCUAAAAGUUUGAUGUGAUAAAACAUGAACUCAAGGAAUAGAUAUAGAAACCGUGAAGUACAGCGUAAAAUCAGCUUUACUCUCGCGUUUUAUCUAUCUAUAUCUAUAUAUAAAAAAGCAAUUAAUAGGAUGAAAAAUGAUGUAGAGAAAAUCUCAGAACAGGGUGCAAGAAUUUAAUAACAAUUAUCAAAACAUGUUAAUUUGAUGAUGGAUGUAGAGCUACUAAAAUCAACAAAUUAAGGAAUAUAUAUAUAUAUAUAUAUAUAUAUAUAUACACAGCAUGAAAUAGAUUUCUCUCUCCGAUCUUCUUUUCGCGUUCCCUUUCAAUUUCUUAAAUAUCAUGAACGCAUCAACUGAUUCAGUAUAUGGAAUCUCAGAUAAUAAUAUUUCAGACAACAUUGUAAAACUGCGAAAAAACAUGAACUUAUAGAAUCUCACUGAAAUUCAAUUACGCAAGGCUAAAAGAAGCAUGCAUGAUGCAUCUGCUUCAUACAGAUAGUUAACUCAUCCAACAUUUCCAAUCUAGUUAGUAUUCGGUGUUGCGCUUUCACUCUCAAAUAGCUCAAAUUUUCUUUAUUGUUUCGCCUUUUCCUGUCAUUUAAAAAUUUUCAGCUACCUAGUGAAUCUCUCGCCCACAUUUGCGCUGCGCGCGAUGGGAAUGUACCCUUCUUUCGUCGUCCUCGGCUUUCGCGGCAUGCAUCCAGCAUCUGCACCCUCAGUUCCCUUACAAAACUCAAGUUUCACCCCACUGCUAUGCAGAAUUUUGUGAAGAAGUGGUCGGUUUGAUUAACUUAAACAACAAAAACAGAAAAAGAAUAGUUUCCGCGCCAACUCUUUAUUCGGAGUACUCCAUCAUCUUAUUCAUGCAAUUUUUGUCUCUCAUUUCUAAUCUCAUCUUCCUCAAGUGCGUUACUUUGAGAACAAACACACUGCAGGUUCAUCAAAAGUAAAUUGAACGGCGAAACAAAUGCCGAAAGAAACAGAGAGAGCUUGAACUUUACCUAUUGACAUUGCAAGACGAUGAUCUCUUCAACAGUGAGAGUUCUCCUGCACCAUUUUCUCCGAUGCUCUUCGCCUCAAUCGAGCUCCCACCGUAGUACUCCACAGAAGAAGCAGGAAUGUUAUUUACUGCUUCUUUCACCGACACUGAGCUGCAGGGGAUCAGAUUCAUUAGGACCGUCGAAGCCCUGAACCUGCCGCUCAAGCAACCGCCUGCCGUCCGAUCCCCGUCGACCCGCGCAGUCGACGAGGCUGUUUUGAGGGGCGGUGGAAGCGCCUCCGGGCUCGACGACAAGCACGGCGGCGGCGAGAUCUCCUCCCUCCGGAGCUCCGCUCGACAGUUAGAGUAGUCGGCAAUGCAAUCCUCUCGCGCUCUCCACGGCGGUCUCUCCUCCGUCUGCGUCGACGCGUCGGCCGAUCCGACAGCCGUCUCCGCCGUUAGCCCACGAGAGUUCGGCACUGUAUCGGUUUUUCGCGAAUUGUGGAAGCCGAGAUCGCCUCUGAUGGAUUUGGAUGCGUCGAGAGGCUUCUCCGAGCUGGACGAAGAGGAAGCGGUCGCGGUGACCGAAGACGAGGCGGCGGUGGGAACGAGCUCCGUCCCCUUGAGCACGUACUCGUUGCUGUGGAUCGGAGGGAUCAAAUCGUCGUCGGAGAGGUCGUGCCACACAUAUCCGUUCUUGUAGGCUCUGAAUCAAACAGUUGGAGAUCAUCAACGAAGCAAGGGAGAUAAGAACUUCAUGUGUAAAGAUCUUCUCAAACAUUUUUCUAUUUUGACAUGCCUCCUCAACUUUGAUUUUUUUAAAAAAAAUUUAAUUGACAUUUUCUAUUGAUAUCGUUUUUCCAUUUCAAAAUGGCAAAUAAUUAAUAGUUUAGAGAGUGUUGAUUUUUAUUAAUUAAUCAAUCCAGCAGUUAAUUAACCAGUCAAUUAAUUAAGUAAUUAAUUAAUUAAUGUUACCGUUUGGAAGACCAGGAGUACAUUGCCCCCAACCACUGUCCCCUGAGAACGUUGAGUCGGUUGAUAAAAUCUGAGGAGAGAAAUGUAAUUAACUAAGGAAUUAGUGACAAAAAAAAAAUUAAUAGCUAAUUUUUUUUUAAAAAAAUGGAACUUUUUUUUUUUUGUUGUUCCAAAUUUGGUGAUUAAUGUUUAAUACCUCUGAGAAAGAGACCUUCGUCGGAGGAGUAGGUGACUUCCAUGUAGUGGGGAUGCUCCAAGUGAUUGUUCCUUGAGAGGUAGUAGACGACGGCCGCGACCGCCACGGCUUUUUUCUUAUCCGAUGAUCUCCGCGGCGGCUUCGGCUCGAUCCACACCUUCGCCCUCUCCGGGCUCGCCUCCGCCCGCUCCCUCUGAUCACCGGGGAGCUCCGCGCUUCCCCGAGAAGCAGAAGCAGAAGCCAUGGAAAUUAAGAGAGAAAGAGAACAAGUUGUUAGUAGAAGAAGAGCGAGUGAAAUAGGAUUAUAGGGGGUGGGGGAACAUUCAAAUCGGGAGGGGGCGGGACAAACCGAAACUAUUGCAUGAACCCGGUGCGCCGUGCUCCGUACUUGUGAAACCUUAUCGUAAAGGUUUUAGAACUUUGUAUUUAGUUUAUUUGAUGUGUUAUAUGAUAUUCGAAAGAUAAAUUUACCAGAAAAGUGUAAAUUUUAAACAUCAUUUCUCAUCCAACAAACAACUUUUUUUUUAUCGUUAAUUUCCAAAGCAAUUUAAUGCCUGAAUGAUAGUCUUCUAGGCACCGUUUGGUUCGGAUAUAAGUAAGAACUAGUUAUUAUAGGGAUAGGUACAAGUAUGGGAAUAAGAAAAAUAACGUUUGGAUGAAAAUUGGAUUGUUUACGGUGAUAAAAAAAAAAUAACGUUUAGAUAGAUAAUAUAAAAUAAGAAAAAUAGUGAAUAAUUAUAUAUAGAAAAUAGAGGUGUUGAUGGGGAUAAUUAUACCUGAUUAUUAUAGGUAACCGAAAAUUACUAUUCUCGAAUAAAAAAUUAGCGUUUGGAUAUAAAAGGAAAAUAAGGAGUUAUUCCAUCAUUAUCUCCAAUCCAAACGCAACCCUAUCUUUUUGUACGCAUGUUCUUUACAUGUUAAUGUUUAUAUUUUGACAGGUGCUUUACUAAUCUUAACGCUUUUAACUUAUUUUAAGAUGCUUAUUAUCUAACAUUGCGUGUGGUUCAUGAAUAAUCAUGGGUACGUACACCUGGUGUUUUUCAAACUUUCUAUUAUUCCGAUUAAAAAAAAGGGUAAAGUUAAAAAGGGCGAGAAUGGAAUGGAUCAAAUGAUAGUGUUGCAGGGAGCAUGAUAUUUUUGUAUGACUUUAUAUCAUCCUAAUACUUUUUAAUUUAACUAUUACUAACUCCAACGGUCUAGUGAGUUUGAGUUUGACUGAGGAUAAGAAGGGGGAGGAGAAAAAGGGCGGGCCACAUUUUCAAACAAACUGUAGCUGUUUGGUAAAGUGGAUUAGAGAUGGAGUUGUACCUCACAACAUUAGUUUGAUUUUGGACAUCAAUAACAGUGCCUCGUUGUUGGAGCCCAAAAGUCAAAAUGUACAGAAACCCAACCACUCCAAAAUUAGUACACCACUACAGUAUUGACCUCGAACCUCUCAUAAAACAUUACUGAUACACUGACCUGCACAUAGAAUAUGCAGUAACUAUUUUUUACGUGGGACAAUUGCUUAUGUAUUUCUGAAAAAUUUUCGACUUUUCGAUUUGCACCUCUUAGAAGACUAAUAUUGAAAAAAAAUUUUCUUCGUUCCAACCUAUUUCUAAUAUACUCUUAUAGUUAAAAUCUGUUAAUUAAGUCUGUUAUCUCUGUAAAAUUAUUAUUUUAUCCUUUCAAAUAUGUUUUUCCACCGUCAUUGACUUUUUUAUUUACCCUUAAAGUCAGGGAUAUAAAAAGUAUUUUGACUUUUGAUCUUUUCUAAUGUACUCCUCUACCGUCACCAAUAUUUCUUAUUUGCCCUUAAGUUAAGUGUAAAAUUGACAUUUUAAUUUUUUUAAACCGUGGUAGAUAUUUAACUCACGUUUAACCCAAGUUAACUUAACAGGAGAUAACUUCGGGGGUAUUUUGCAAUAACGGUGGAAUAUAUGAGGGGUAUUUUAGAAAGACAAAAAAAAAUAAAGAUAAAUCGGAUAUUUUCAAACGUAUGAGAGGUUUGUAGGCAAUUAUCCCUUUUUACAAUAGCGUCGUCAACACAUCAAAUAUCGUUUGGUGUAUAGUAAUCAAAUUAAUGAGCCAGGAAGAGUAAUGCUUCGAGCAUUUAAAUUAAUGUUAUAAAGUAUUGAUAAUUAGUCAGUAUUAUACAUAUGACAAAUAUUAGGUAACUAGUAUUUUUUAGACUUUAUCUCGUAUCAAGUGUUUUAGCUGAAGUAAGUAAAAUGAAAUAAAACACUGAUGAACGAAUCACUUGUUGAUGCGUAGACGGAUAGACGAAUACCGUAACAUUGUGGGGUACCUUCUGGGGUGCAUGUUGCAAUUACUCAGCUACAUAUCUGGGGACUCUGAUUGUCCUGGGUACGUUUGACUUGUAUAGUAUCCUACUAUUUUUAUCACUAGGUGAUUGAUUCUCUCACACCCAGAUUAAAAGAACCUUGCUCCAGAUCCAGAUCUGCACAAAAUCCACUGAAGCAAUUCCACUGAUUCUACUGUUGAAGUGAAACACCACAAUAUACAAAUGUAAUCCAUUCUAUUUAAUUCAAUGUCCCCUCAUUCAAGCUAUUAAAUAUUAAGAGGAGUUAGGUGAAUUUUGAAAGUUGCCAUAUUUGUAAGCCUUUGAAUCUUUAGUUUUGAAGCACUUUAGAAAAAAGAUUUGUGUAGAGUAAAGAGGGGAGGGGACAAGGAAUCAGAUGAGCAUAUAACGACAAUGCUAUUUAUCAAUAAAGGAUUUAUGAAUUCAAAUGGUGCAAAAGAUAAUGAUCUGAAUCAAUGAGAAACCUACUCCCAUGAUGCUUUAAAUAAAUAGUUGCUGGACCUCAUAAAUGACUCUUCAUAUUACCAUCAAUAGUCCAAUAAGUCAUUCCACCUAGCUAUGCUUGAUUUACAAUUACAAAUUGAAAUAUGACACCUCUUGAGAUAAGUUGAAAAUCUGAUUUUUAUGUAAAACUGUUUUGAGUAAACCAUAAGGCUAGCUCCUUUGAUAUUAGGGGAAGAAUGCGUUACGAAUGAUCAGAAAGUGCGAUGAAAAAAUAUAGUUCAGUCGCUUCCGUUAAAAAUAUAGCACUUUGUGGAUCGCAAUGAUCCAGUUACGAUAUUAUUUUCGUAAUUCCAUAAGAAAAUAAAAAAGUAUAUUUAUGUAUAGUCUUCAACUUCUUUUGGUUCAACAGAGUAAAGUAGUUCUCAAUACAAAACGGGCCUAAGACAAAUCAUGGGACUUAUUUUGCAUAUGUAACUAUACAUUAUGAGCAGUAGUACCUGUUACCAUAUCUCAACUCAUUUUAUAAAAUUUUACAUUUUGAUUCAAAAUUUUCAAACCAAUUUGAGAUAGUGGUGAAGCAUUAAGUGACAAUUUUUUUUUUUUUUGAGUAAAAACACUAAGGGAGUGUUUGGAUUGACGAAUCUCUAGAUCCAACAUAACUUAAAUGUAGUGGUGUUGGAGUUUUCCUAAAAUAUAGUUAUUUUUUCGUUGUCUAUUUUGAUGUAAUUCAUACAAUCUAAAAAUUAAAUUUAAGCACUUUUUGGCUUGUUCUGAUGUAAUUUGAUGCUAGAGUAACUAGUUUUUUGAGUUCUGUUGUUUAUUUUGAUGUAAGUAAAUAAAUUUUAUUACCUUCUAAAUGUAGUGAUAAAUUUAUUCUCAUAAUAUCCAAAAUAUUAAAUAAUUAAGUUCUCCCUUAAUAUUUAAAGGUAAUUCUAACCUAUUGUAAAGAAAGUUGAGUUUAGGUUUAAAUAUUUAAUUAAUUUUUGAGAAAAAUGUCGAGUGCAGUGAAAAUUGAGUUCGGCACUCUAGAGGAGAAAGUUAAAAAUAGAUGAAGUAGAGAUCUAACGUAACUUGAGUUAUAUUAUUGUUUUAACUUAUACCAAAAUAAAUACCGAAAAUAAUGAAACUUGAGUUUCACCUUUUUACUUCAAAUUAAACUGCUCAUAAGUGAGAAUUAAUAUGGGCUUUCAUGAAGAGAUUAAUUGAGACAGGCCAAAAAUGCAGAGUUUUUUUUUUUUUUUUUUUGGGUUACUUCCAAUUUCUUUUAUCUGUCACUGUCACUUCAAAUGAGAAAUACAAUAGCAUAAUAAUCGUGCAAAAAUUAAGGAAAAAAAAUAAACAGAAAAAAGGCAAAAAAACUCGACGAAAAAAAUCUUCUCCUUAUUGAGCUCGACUCAAGAUUAGGAUGAUCCGGCUCAAGUUCGAGUCGAUUAGAUAACAAACUCGAGCUCGAGCCUAAAAGUUACGAUUCCUCUUAAUAGUCCCACAUCGGCCACAAAACACGAUUACAGAGUGUGCGCACUAUAAAUAGAGGACACCCCCCAACGUUUAGUUUCAUACCUUUCUCGGCCUUUUGGCUAAGAUCAAGUGUAGUAUCUGUUCUUAUCAGUUUAAUAUCUGAUACGUGGGCCAUGUGCCCACCUCGAUAUUAAAUUAAUUUUUCAGUGGGGGAGGGCCCAUCGACAGUAGCUUGCUACUGGGGCUCUCGUGCGUCGCCCUCGCGUUGCACUACUGCGUGGGCCUGGCGCACCCCUACCAAAACUUAAGCCACAAAUCAUUCGACCUUGUGUAGGGCCUAAAAUUAUAAGGGCUCUUAAUCUAAUUUUACAUUUGAAUCCCUAGCUUAUAUUGAGUUUACAAGAAAAAUCCCGAAGUUCGGUUGUGUUUGUUUCACCAGGGUGAAGUGAUUUUCAAUUUACUUUUCUUGUUUGGUUCACAAUAACUUUUCUUUCGUAGAAAUUGUAAUUUUUGUAAUUUUCGAAAAUAUCGUAAUUGACUUUGGUCUAUCCUCAAGCUAUAGUUAAUUACAGUUAAUUACGACUUCAUCAUUCACUUUAUGCCGUACAAAUAAGUACAAAUAAAUACAAGUACAAAGACUUCAGUUCUACAACUAUACAAACAAAUAACGAGAUAAAUAAUUUUUAUAUGAAUUCUACCUUAUCAAAAC